UGAUGAUCGGGAUGCAAAAUGAGGAGGAGAGGGGUGGCCACUGGUUUUGAUGUGAAUUUGACUUUGGACGACGCUUAUAUGCGUCGUUUUAGGCCGGAAUAUAAGACGACGCUAAUAAGCGUCGUCUAUUCCUAAGAUUUCCCGACGCUUAAUCAAAGCGUCGGCAAAUAUUUGGGCAGUGAACUUUUUUCCGACGCUUUCUCCUAGCGUCGCUAGAAAAGCGUCGGGAAAAGACUACUUUCCUGU
Molecule: long non-coding RNA, 246 nt
Filed under: Phoenix dactylifera (date palm)
Lineage: Eukaryota; Viridiplantae; Streptophyta; Magnoliopsida; Arecales; Arecaceae
Description: long non-coding RNA (PDAC_LNC020109)
Source: RNAcentral